CUACAGGGGUUUCUAAUCCUGUUUGCUCCCCACGCUUUCGCACCUCAGCGUCAGUGUCGAGCCAGUGAGCCGCCUUCGCCACUGGUGUUCCUCCGAAUAUCUACGAAUUUCACCUCUACACUCGGAAUUCCACUCACCUCUCUCGAACUCAAGACCAGCAGUCUUGAAGGCCAUUCCGAGGUUGAGCCCCGGGAUUUCACCCCCAACUUGCCAAUCCGCCUACGCGCGCUUUACGCCCAGUCAUUCCGAACAACGCUAGCCCCCUCCGUAUUACCGCGGCUGCUGGCAC
RNAcentral lists this ribosomal RNA (289 nucleotides) under uncultured Rhodobacterales bacterium. RNAcentral describes it as "partial 16S ribosomal RNA". Lineage: Bacteria; Pseudomonadati; Pseudomonadota; Alphaproteobacteria; Rhodobacterales. The record is from RNAcentral.